UCCCUGGUAGCUCAGCGGUAGAGCGUUCGACUGUUAAUCGAAAUGUCGUAGGUUCGAAUCCUACCCGGGGAGCCA
This 75-nucleotide transfer RNA is filed under the name Sandarakinorhabdus glacialis. Its description in RNAcentral is "Polymorphobacter glacialis tRNA-Asn". It matches the Rfam family "tRNA". Rfam says of the family: Transfer RNA (tRNA) molecules are approximately 80 nucleotides in length. Their secondary structure includes four short double-helical elements and three loops (D, anti-codon, and T loops). Lineage: Bacteria; Pseudomonadati; Pseudomonadota; Alphaproteobacteria; Sphingomonadales; Sphingosinicellaceae. The record is from RNAcentral. RNAcentral also lists the same sequence under 3 other names.